RNAcentral lists this ribosomal RNA (1535 nucleotides) under Bacteroides ovatus. RNAcentral's name for it is "bacterial SSU rRNA". It matches the Rfam family "Bacterial small subunit ribosomal RNA". The record is from RNAcentral. Lineage: Bacteria; Pseudomonadati; Bacteroidota; Bacteroidia; Bacteroidales; Bacteroidaceae.
UUUACAAUGAAGAGUUUGAUCCUGGCUCAGGAUGAACGCUAGCUACAGGCUUAACACAUGCAAGUCGAGGGGCAGCAUUUUAGUUUGCUUGCAAACUGAAGAUGGCGACCGGCGCACGGGUGAGUAACACGUAUCCAACCUGCCGAUAACUCCGGAAUAGCCUUUCGAAAGAAAGAUUAAUACCGGAUAGUAUACGAAUAUCGCAUGAUAUUUUUAUUAAAGAAUUUCGGUUAUCGAUGGGGAUGCGUUCCAUUAGUUUGUUGGCGGGGUAACGGCCCACCAAGACUACGAUGGAUAGGGGUUCUGAGAGGAAGGUCCCCCACAUUGGAACUGAGACACGGUCCAAACUCCUACGGGAGGCAGCAGUGAGGAAUAUUGGUCAAUGGGCGAGAGCCUGAACCAGCCAAGUAGCGUGAAGGAUGAAGGCUCUAUGGGUCGUAAACUUCUUUUAUAUGGGAAUAAAGUUUUCCACGUGUGGAAUUUUGUAUGUACCAUAUGAAUAAGGAUCGGCUAACUCCGUGCCAGCAGCCGCGGUAAUACGGAGGAUCCGAGCGUUAUCCGGAUUUAUUGGGUUUAAAGGGAGCGUAGGUGGAUUGUUAAGUCAGUUGUGAAAGUUUGCGGCUCAACCGUAAAAUUGCAGUUGAAACUGGGAGUCUUGAGUACAGUAGAGGUGGGCGGAAUUCGUGGUGUAGCGGUGAAAUGCUUAGAUAUCACGAAGAACUCCGAUUGCGAAGGCAGCUCACUAGACUGUCACUGACACUGAUGCUCGAAAGUGUGGGUAUCAAACAGGAUUAGAUACCCUGGUAGUCCACACAGUAAACGAUGAAUACUCGCUGUUUGCGAUAUACAGUAAGCGGCCAAGCGAAAGCAUUAAGUAUUCCACCUGGGGAGUACGCCGGCAACGGUGAAACUCAAAGGAAUUGACGGGGGCCCGCACAAGCGGAGGAACAUGUGGUUUAAUUCGAUGAUACGCGAGGAACCUUACCCGGGCUUAAAUUGCAACAGAAUAUAUUGGAAACAGUAUAGCCGUAAGGCUGUUGUGAAGGUGCUGCAUGGUUGUCGUCAGCUCGUGCCGUGAGGUGUCGGCUUAAGUGCCAUAACGAGCGCAACCCUUAUCUUUAGUUACUAACAGGUCAUGCUGAGGACUCUAGAGAGACUGCCGUCGUAAGAUGUGAGGAAGGUGGGGAUGACGUCAAAUCAGCACGGCCCUUACGUCCGGGGCUACACACGUGUUACAAUGGGGGGUACAGAAGGCGGCUACCUGGUGACAGGAUGCUAAUCCCAAAAACCUCUCUCAGUUCGGAUCGAAGUCUGCAACCCGACUUCGUGAAGCUGGAUUCGCUAGUAAUCGCGCAUCAGCCAUGGCGCGGUGAAUACGUUCCCGGGCCUUGUACACACCGCCCGUCAAGCCAUGAAAGCCGGGGGUACCUGAAGUACGUAACCGCAAGGAGCGUCCUAGGGUAAAACUGGUAAUUGGGGCUAAGUCGUAACAAGGUAGCCGUACCGGAAGGUGCGGCUGGAACACCUCCUUUCUG